GAUGAACGCUGGCGGCGUGCCUAAUACAUGCAAGUCGAGCGAACAGACGAGGAGCUUGCUCCUCUGACGUUAGCGGCGGACGGGUGAGUAACACGUGGAUAACCUACCUAUAAGACUGGGAUAACUUCGGGAAACCGGAGCUAAUACCGGAUAAUAUAUUGAACCGCAUGGUUCAAUAGUGAAAGACGGUUUUGCUGUCACUUAUAGAUGGAUCCGCGCCGCAUUAGCUAGUUGGUAAGGUAACGGCUUACCAAGGCGGCGAUGCGUAGCCGACCUGAGAGGGGGAUCGGCCACAAUGGAAAUGAGACACGGGCCAAAAUCCUUAGGGAGGGCGGAGUAGGGAAUCUUCCGGCAUGGGCGGAAGGCUGACGGAGGAACGGCGGGGGAGUGAAGAAGGUUUUCGGAUCGGAAAACCCUGUUUUUAGGGAAGAACAAAUGGUGUAGUAACUUAUGCCGGCUUGACGGUAACCAAAUAGAAAGGCAAGGCUUAAUACGGU
This 497-nucleotide ribosomal RNA is filed under the name uncultured bacterium. RNAcentral's name for it is "partial 16S ribosomal RNA". It matches the Rfam family "Bacterial small subunit ribosomal RNA", at positions 28 to 507 of the family's 1533-position model. The record is from RNAcentral.